CAAAGACCUUUAUUUACAACUCUCAUGUGGUUACCUCUGAACCUCCAGAAGGAAGCCUCCCUAAUCCCUGAAUUCUGGUCUCUGUCUUGUUUUACUGCUCUUAAAGAUUACAAGAUAAGUUACCAAUAAAAUAGGCGCUGAGCUGUUCUCGGGGAGUUGUGCGUCUCCGGGAGCUCUCCCCGUGCUCUCUCUCAUACUCCUAUGUGUUUCGAGAAUUAAUCAGUGCGAAACUGCUGCAAUUGGCACCGAAACAGGGACCUCCUGAAAGUUUGCUUCAUAUCCCCUCCUCAAGCCCGAGCAAGGGCAAAGGAUAUCUGCUCAUCCAGGGACACCCAAUGCCAGGUGUGACCAGGGAGGGUUCACAUGGAAACAAACACCAGAAUGAAAUGGAUUCUGCCUAGUACCUGAAAGGUCCUGUCCCUGGAAUGUCCUGACCUCCCAGAGCUCUUAGAACAAAUUAAAUGUUCUUCAUGAAAACAACUGUGUAAGUA
Molecule: long non-coding RNA, 491 nt
Filed under: Bos indicus x Bos taurus (hybrid cattle)
Lineage: Eukaryota; Metazoa; Chordata; Mammalia; Artiodactyla; Bovidae
Description: lncRNA (ENSBIXG00000026417.1)
Source: RNAcentral